Molecule: ribosomal RNA, 564 nt
Filed under: Triticum aestivum (bread wheat)
Lineage: Eukaryota; Viridiplantae; Streptophyta; Magnoliopsida; Poales; Poaceae
Description: partial small subunit ribosomal RNA
Source: RNAcentral
AUGACGACCAUGGUUGCCUUGAGCUCCUUCGCUGGUGCCACCGUCGUUGUCCGCCCCGCCUCCUGGUCUCCGGCGCUGACGCGUCAGCGCGCCCUCCUCGUCAGGGCGCAGACCGAGCCGGAUAUCGAGCCGACCAAGGAGACGACGAGCGCGUCGACAUCCUCCCCAACCCCAACCCCAAGCCCGGUGGCGCCCAAGCCCAAGCCCAAGGCUAACCCCUCGGUGUGGGACGCGCUCGCGUUCAGCGGCCCAGCGCCGGAGCGCAUCAACGGCCGGCUCGCUAUGGUGGGCUUCGUGGCGGCGUUCUCCGUCGAGGCAGCGCGCGGCGGCGGGCUACUCGACCAGGCCGGCAGCGGCGCCGGGUUGGGAUGGUUCCUGACGACCGCAGCGGUGUUCUCGGUGGCGUCGCUGGUGCCGCUCCUUCAGGGACAGAGCGUGGAGAGCAAGUCCAGCGGCGUAUGGAGCGCCGACGCCGAGCUAUGGAACGGCCGCUUCGCCAUGCUCGGCCUCGUCGCACUCGCCAUCACCGAGUUCAUCACCGGCACGCCCUUCGUCAACGUCUGA